Long non-coding RNA from Felis catus (domestic cat), 496 nucleotides. RefSeq lists it as uncharacterized. The transcript has 2 exons. NCBI's taxonomy places the organism in Eukaryota, Metazoa, Chordata, Mammalia, Carnivora, Felidae. The record is from RefSeq and is a predicted model, not a curated record.
UGAUAGGUUUGGUAUUAAGUUUUAAAAAUUUAUCGAAAGCCUGGUUGACCAAAAAAGCAAACAAAGAAACUUUCUUUAAGCAGGGUUGCCAGGGCAAAGAUUUGCUGGUAGAGGAGUCUUAUAUGACCAGGCCCUGACUGGAAGCUACCUGAAAAGGUCAUAACCUUGACAAACUCAGAUCCUGCAGGUGCUAACCCCGGGAGCUCCAGCAGUACUCUUUGAAGAUGAUAGGCAAAGCCAUUCUGAGAAGAUGAGGACUCUGCCAUCUACUGUUCUCCUUGUGUCCUUUCCAAGGGCAUUCAAAGAGAGUUGGGACUCUGGAAGUAGAGAAAGAAGACAAGAAGGCACUUUGGUGCAGAUUUGUAUUUCCUACUUUUGCUAUGAGAAAAGCUUGGAUAUGUGUGAGUAGGACAGAGGAACCUAGCUUGGUGAGCCUAAAGCUUGUGUGAUUUGGGUACCCCUAUUUUAAGCAUUAUAAAUAAACUUAGGAGCACAA